GAUGAACGCUAGCUACAGGCUUAACACAUGCAAGUCGAGGGACCGGCGCACGGGUGAGUAACACGUAUCCAACCUGCACUGUACUCGGUGAUAGCCUUUCGAAAGAACGAUUAAUACCCGAUAUAAAGGAUGGGGAUGCGUUCCAUUAGGUUGUUGGUGAGGUAACGGCUCACCAAGCCUUCGAUGGCUAGGGGUUCUGAGAGGAAGGGCCCCCACAUUGGAACCGAGACACGGUCCAAACUCCUACGGGAGGCAGCAGGGAGGAAUACUGGGCAAUGGGCGCUAGCCUGACCCAGCCAAGUAGCGUGAAGGAUGAAGGCGUAUGGGGCGUAAACUGCUUGUAUAUAAGAAUAUGUAUUAUAUGAAUAAGGAUCGGCUAACUCCGUGCCAGCAGCCGCGGUAAUUC
RNAcentral lists this ribosomal RNA (406 nucleotides) under uncultured bacterium. RNAcentral describes it as "partial 16S ribosomal RNA". It matches the Rfam family "Bacterial small subunit ribosomal RNA", at positions 28 to 526 of the family's 1533-position model. The record is from RNAcentral.